UGGAAGUAAAAGUCGUAACAAGGUUUCCGUAGGUGAACCUGCGGAAGGAUCAUUACCGAGUGUAGGGUUCCUAGCGAGCCCAACCUCCCACCCGUGUUUACUGUACCUUAGUUGCUUCGGCGGGCCCGCCAUUCAUGGCCGCCGGGGGCUCUCAGCCCCGGGCCCGCGCCCGCCGGAGACACCACGAACUCUGUCUGAUCUAGUGAAGUCUGAGUUGAUUGUAUCGCAAUCAGUAAAACUUUCAACAAUGGAUCUCUUGGUUCCGGCAUCGAUGAAGAACGCAGCGAAAUGCGAUAACUAGUGUGAAUUGCAGAAUUCCGUGAAUCAUCGAGUCUUUGAACGCACAUUGCGCCCCCUGGUAUUCCGGGGGGCAUGCCUGUCCGAGCGUCAUUGCUGCCCAUCAAGCACGGCUUGUGUGUUGGGUCGUCGUCCCCUCUCCGGGGGGGACGGGCCCCAAAGGCAGCGGCGGCACCGCGUCCGAUCCUCGAGCGUAUGGGGCUUUGUCACCCGCUCUGUAGGCCCGGCCGGCGCUUGCCGAACGCAAAUCA
RNAcentral lists this ribosomal RNA (548 nucleotides) under Aspergillus oryzae. Its description in RNAcentral is "partial 18S ribosomal RNA". The stretch from base 237 to 390 matches the Rfam family "5.8S ribosomal RNA". The record is from RNAcentral. Lineage: Eukaryota; Fungi; Ascomycota; Eurotiomycetes; Eurotiales; Aspergillaceae.